This 267-nucleotide unclassified non-coding RNA is filed under the name plant metagenome. RNAcentral describes it as "partial contains small subunit ribosomal RNA, internal transcribed spacer 1, and 5.8S ribosomal RNA". The record is from RNAcentral.
UUUCCGUAGGUGAACCUGCGGAAGGAUCAUUAUCGUACAACAUGGGAGGGGCAUGCGUGUGUUGUCGCUGACCCAAGAGUCGUGCACGCCCGAGUGUGUCCUCUUGCAUAAUAAUCCACCUCUCCCUUGGGGCAUCACCGCGUGGGCAACCUUCGGGAUCAUCUCGGAGGGGGGCUCGCGUUUUCACACAAACCCCCCUUUGAUAAGUGUAGAAUGACCACAUUUAUGCAAUCAAUACAACUUUCAACAACGGAUCUCUUGGCUCUC